This 500-nucleotide ribosomal RNA is filed under the name uncultured bacterium. RNAcentral describes it as "partial 16S ribosomal RNA". It matches the Rfam family "Bacterial small subunit ribosomal RNA", at positions 28 to 523 of the family's 1533-position model. The record is from RNAcentral.
GAUGAACGCUGGCGGAAUGCUUUACACAUGCAAGUCGAACGGCAGCACGGACUUCGGUCUGGUGGCGAGUGGCGAACGGGUGAGUAAUGUAUCGGAACGUGCCCAGUCGUGGGGGAUAACGUAGUGAAAAUUACGCUAAUACCGCAUACGAUCUAUGGAUGAAAGCGGGGGAUCGCAAGACCUCGCGCGAUUGGAGCGGCCGAUAUCAGAUUAGGUAGUUGGUGGGGUAAAGGCCCACCAAGCCAACGAUCUGUAGCUGGUCUGAGAGGACGACCAGCCACACUGGAACUGAGACACGGUCCAGACUCCUACGGGAGGCAGCAGUGGGGAAUUUUGGACAAUGGGCGAAAGCCUGAUCCAGCCAUUCCGCGUGCAGGAUGAAGGCCCUCGGGUUGUAAACUGCUUUUGUACAGAACGAAAAGGUUUCUACUAAUACUAGGAGCUCAUGACGGUACUGUAAGAAUAAGCACCGGCUAACUACGUGCCAGCAGCCGCGGUAA